This 1091-nucleotide long non-coding RNA is filed under the name Musa acuminata (dwarf banana). RNAcentral's name for it is "long non-coding RNA (MACU_LNC000131)". Lineage: Eukaryota; Viridiplantae; Streptophyta; Magnoliopsida; Zingiberales; Musaceae. The record is from RNAcentral.
UUGAAAGAAAAUAACGUUUAUCAAUAAAUCUGCAUGAAAAAAAGAGAUCACAAAAUAAACUGCCUACUUUUAUUUCUUUUGUGAAAUGGAGACCACUUACUACGGUUUUUUGAUGACUUCUCCACUAACUAGAAUGUUUUGUUUCGCAGCCUUGCCGCCCUAUUCUGUUGCUGAUUUCUUGUUGAUGAGUGCAGCUUGGAUCCAGCCAUCCUAUUUCUCUGCUGAUAUCACUCUGCUCCAUCUUAAAGUAUUUGCUGUCUUUAAACACACUUGAAGUAUCUGCUGUGAAGCUGUAAUCAAAAUUUCAAGUUUGAAAGUGUUUCAGAAUCUUUAUUUAGAGAAACUUCCAUAAAAUUAUAUUUCAUUGUGGUUAGAGGUGAUAGUCAAAAGAACAUAAAUAAGAAGUUUCAUGGAUGUCAAAUUAACGUUUCUCAGAGAUCAUUCUGCAUCAAUCCAGUCUGCUGCAUGGAAGAAUCUGAUUACUUUAAUCAACACUUAUGCUACUCAUAUCUUAUCUUUUAGAACCAUUAGGGUCUUCAAAACAGAAAUUAACAUUUUUUAGAUAAUUUUUUAGUGCCAUUUAUCAUGACUAACUCAAUGGGCUAAUUGUCUUAUUAACUUGAUGGAUCCACUGUAGUAAAAUCAUCUGAAUCCUUAUAAACCAACGUUGAUACUUAAACUCAAGUUAUUUAUAGUAGACUCUGAUGUUUAUAAUCCUUAUAAACCGAUACAAGGCAUUUCAAACAUCUGAUGUGUUUGAAAAUGUGACAUUACAAGUGAUAAGAUGUGGGGUUAAUUCUUUGGUGAGGUCUUCCCAAAGUCAUAAAUCUUGAAAUAUAUCAAAUGUAUACCAAGGUUUGACUUACUAGUCCGAGCCGGUUUGUCGACCGAUCGGUGGCACAGCACAUGCUGCCCUGUAGUGGUGCACCAACACAUGAUAUGUAGCGUGAAGGGAAGCAGCAGCACGAUGGCGGUGAAGCGGUGAAGAGGCAGUAUUGCAACGGCGAAGAGGCAACAUCAAGUAAAGCUCCAAAUCAGCCGUAAAAUUCAUGCAUUUCGCUGACACAAGAGGCCGAACCAAAAAUGCUCAC